GAUGAAGAACGUAGCGAAAUGCGAUAAGUAGUGUGAAUUGCAGAAUUCAGUGAAUCAUCGAGUCUUUGAACGCACAUUGCGCCCCCUGGUAUUCCGGGGGGCAUGCCUGUCCGAGCGUCAUUGCUGCCCUCAAGCCCGGCUUGUGUGUUGGGUCUCGUCCCCCUUCCCGGGGGGACGGGCCCGAAAGGCAGCGGCGGCACCGUGUCCGGUCCUCGAGCGUAUGGGGCUUUGUCACCCGCUCUGUAGGCCCGGCCGGCGCUUGCCGAUCAACCAAAACUUUUUUCCAGGUUGACCUCGGAUCAGGUAGGGAUACCCGCUGAACUUAAGCAUAUCAAUAAGCGGAGGA
RNAcentral lists this unclassified non-coding RNA (346 nucleotides) under soil metagenome. RNAcentral's name for it is "partial contains 5.8S ribosomal RNA, internal transcribed spacer 2, and large subunit ribosomal RNA". The stretch from base 1 to 120 matches the Rfam family "5.8S ribosomal RNA", at positions 35 to 154 of the family's 154-position model. The record is from RNAcentral.